UGGGGAAUUUUGCACAAUGGGGGAAACCCUGAUGCAGCGACGCCGCGUGAUUUAGAAGGCCUUCGGGUUGUAAAAAUCUUUUCUAUGGGAAGAAAAUGACAGUACCAUAGGAAUAAGGACCGGCUAAUUACGUGCCAGCAGCCGCGGUAAUACGUAAGGUCCGAGCGUUGUCCGGAAUCAUUGGGCGUAAAGGGUACGUAGGCGGGUAAGCAAGUUAGAAGUGAAAUCCUAUAGCUCAACUAUAGUAAGCUUUUAAAACUGCUCAUCUUGGGGUAUGGGAGGGAAAGUGGAAUUCCUAGGGUAGCGGUGAAAUGCGCAGAUAUUAGGAGGAAUACCGGUGGCGAAGGCGACUUUCUGGCCAUAACCUGACGCUGAGGUACGAAAGCGUGGGUAGCAAACAGG
Molecule: ribosomal RNA, 402 nt
Filed under: bacterium
Lineage: Bacteria
Description: partial 16S ribosomal RNA
Rfam family: Bacterial small subunit ribosomal RNA
Source: RNAcentral